UGGGCAAUAAAGAAAUAAAAUUUGGGAAUUAGGGAAAUUUAGCUCAAUCUUUUGAAAAAAAAAGAAUGUAUUAUGGAUUUUUUAAAAAUCUAAAGGUACUAGUCGAACUCCUGGUGUGAAAAUGAAAAUAAUGUUUCAAACAGUCUGAUAUAUUGAACAAGGAGUAUAAUUUUUAAUUGUUCAGGCAAGUUAAAAAACAAUAGCUACAUAUCUAUAUGAAAAGAAACAAUUCAGGGAUCAUUUGGUUAAUUCGUUUUCAUAGUGAAAUUAAUAGUUAGUGAUUGUGUGCCCAAGAUAGCAUUGCCCUUUCACAAGAUCAUUUAUUGUCAUGUGUAAUAUAGAAAGUGCCAUAAAAUUAGUUGUCUUCAGUGGUGGCUAAAAUUUUUGAAGAUUAAAGACAUGAUGAAUGAUCUCCCUUUUACGACUCAACGAGAAAGUAGCAACGUAUAUGUUUUAUGGUCAACGUCUAGAUGUCAUUAAAUGCAUUUUAUGUUAUUUUAAAAUGUAGUUCAAAUUUACAAGUUUAUCUUUUGCUUUAGUAUUUUUGUAGGGUUUGUAACUUGUUAAAUAUUAUUAAAUGUCUCAUUUUGAUGUGAAAAUAGUAAAUAAAUCUUAAAUCAAAUCAUUUCAAAGUAUUGGUCAUAGAAACUCCAUACAAAUUAUUUAAAAAUAAAACCUGUUGAUGAAAUAUAUAAUUUUUAAUUCAAUAUUGCUACUUUAAAACUAAAAAAAAAAAAUACCAAGAGAUUAAAAACGAAAACCAACUACUGGCGUUGUAACAGCUUUCGUGUGACUCCUGCAGUCCAUCAUCAACAGGUGUCAACUGGAGAAUGACUAGACCAUGGAAAAAACCGAGUAUUUCUACUAUCUCAGAAUUGCUUUUAGAGGAAAGAGAUAAAACUGAGCUGUAGGAGAGGGAGCACGCCAUCUUGUUAGCUGAUGGUCUUUGAAAGGCUUACUGUUAUAACAAAUUUUGACUAAUUACCAAUAAAUACUCUCAAAGCGAAAUCCAUAUAAGAUGUUAGUAACAUUUUUCACAAAACCAAAAGCUUUAUUAUUGUUGGUUUCAUAUCAAAUAAUACUUCAUCUUAUGCGGACAUAGUAUAUCUGGACAAAAGUAUAUUCAUGAAAAUAUACUUUUUGUGCAUAAUGAGAAAUAUGCUCAAAAGGUUGGAUUUUUUUCCUGUACAUUUAACUGCAUAUGUCUUACAAUGAUAACUCAUAUUAAUUUUUGAUAUAGCUUCAGUUAUUACUAUCGUUGUCUUUGUGUUGCGUUUUUUAUUGUGCAGUCAUUGCAAGUUAUUGUCCUUGAUAUGCCUAUAAGUCUGUCUUUGUUUCUGUAACCCAUGGAGAGUUUUGUAGGCGUUGAGUAAGAAGACCCAAAUUUGCUAUAAGACAAACCCCACUUAAUGAUAAAGAUGUCAGGAAAAUUUUUCAAUUUCGGUAACCAAACAGAAACAAUGGCAAAAUUUUGGUAAUUUGAAAUCAAAAUAAUCUUGAUCACGUAGUAUUGUGGCUGUCAUGAAAUUCCAGACAUGUUUUUUCCUUGUAAUCAUUGAAGAUGUCAUAUACCUUCAGUUAAAAGGAAAGAUGUUGUGAGCU
This 1602-nucleotide long non-coding RNA is filed under the name Octopus sinensis (East Asian common octopus). Its description in RNAcentral is "uncharacterized LOC118764329". Lineage: Eukaryota; Metazoa; Mollusca; Cephalopoda; Octopoda; Octopodidae. The record is from RNAcentral.